Molecule: non-coding RNA, 1274 nt
Organism: Nelumbo nucifera (sacred lotus)
Lineage: Eukaryota; Viridiplantae; Streptophyta; Magnoliopsida; Proteales; Nelumbonaceae
Source: RefSeq, a predicted model, not a curated record
UUCUCACCUGGAACAUCGCCAAAUCCUGUAAAAGCUGAGGAUUUCACUAUUAGGUGCUCCGUUUGUCUCCCUUGGUGGUGGUGCUGUUGACUUGGGGGAAAGACCAUAGAAGGUAGCAGAUGCUAGACUUGUACUAGAGGAUGGUUCCACAUGGAAAGCAAAGUGUUUUGGUGCUUCAGGAACCCAAGCUGCUGAGGUGGUUUUCAAUACAUCUCUGACAGGCAGGUUUGGGGGUGCUAAUUACACUGUUUCAAGUAUGAUUGGAGUUCUACUCUCACCAUUGCAUGUAUCAAGAAAUCCUUACAGACCCUAGUUAUGUUGUCCACUUUGUCUUGAUGACAAACCUGCAUAUUGGGAAUACCGGCAUUAAUUUUGAUAGGUUUUGUCGGUUCAAGUUAUGACCUAUAUCUUCUACUGUCAUACAAUGCUUCCUUGAUGGUUUAGUGAUUAGAAGUUUAAGUAUCAGUACCUCAAACUGGUGAUGCAAAGAAACUCUUGGUGAUUAUUUGGCACAAAGGAACACCAUGGAAUAAGUGACUCUAUCAGUAUUUUAUGUGCUUUUCUUUUCAUACAACUCAUUAAAUAUUCUCUGGUUAUCAUAGAUCCUUUCUCCUGAUUCUUUAACUUUGCCCUCCAAUUUAUUAUUUUCAAUGUUAUUCUCGUAUAUAAUAGAUGUUGUGGACACUAGAGCAAUUACACGUAGAUCAAGAGAUGGAAGCCUUAUAGCUGUUAUUAAAACACUGAUGAAUCCUAACUGUUGGAAUUGUCCUGCAGAUGGGAUAUUGUUGGUGUUGAUUUGAUUAGUGAUGUCUUCUGCAAGGCCCCAUAUAAAUGGGUUGAUAAAACAGAUUCAAAAUGAAAAUUCAAGAAUUGUGCUGGAGAUGGAGAAAGCUUUCAUAUACAAAAUAACAGUUGUCCUUUCAACAUGGCCAGCUUGAAAGACACUGGAGAUGAAUCCAGAUGGAGUUCUUUUUAGCAAUGGCCAAGGAGAUCCAUCUGUUGUUCCUUAUGCUGUUGAAACAGUGAAGGAAAUGAAGCUUGGCCAUCAUGGAGGAAACCACCCAGUUCACAACCUUAGAAAUGGCUGUGUCAAGAUAAGUUAUCAGGCAUGUUCAUUUUCUUGUGCAUUUAUGUGUAUUUGUUAAUAAAACCCUCUUAAUUUAAUUUGAAUUUAAAGGUAGAUGGGUAUUAGCCUGGUAAUUACUGUAAACAUCACCUCAUAUUUAAUAUUAAUCCAAAGAUAAUAUGGCACAUCAGUGUCUUUUUCCUGCUUA